Molecule: ribosomal RNA, 256 nt
Filed under: Pseudomonas sp.
Lineage: Bacteria; Pseudomonadati; Pseudomonadota; Gammaproteobacteria; Pseudomonadales; Pseudomonadaceae
Description: partial 16S ribosomal RNA
Rfam family: Bacterial small subunit ribosomal RNA
Source: RNAcentral
GACUUUCCAGAGAGGAUGGUGCCUUCGGGAACUCAGCACAGGUGCUGCAAAAAAUCAGCUCGUGUCGGAGAUGUUGGGUUAAGUCCCGUAACGAGCGCAACCCUGUCCUUAGUUCCAGCACGUUAUGGUGGGCACUCUAAGGAGACUGCCGGUGACAAACCGGAGGAAGGUGGGGAUGACGUCAAGUCAUCAUGGCCCUACCCCAGGGCUACACACGGCUCAAUGGUCUCCAAAGGGUGGGGAACGCGAGGUGGAG